AAAUACGGUGUGAAAUCUUUGUAAAUACAAUUGCAUGAGUGAAUUUUAAUCCAUUUCGCUGAGGGGCCAACUGGAACUCGUUCAAAGACUCUUGUGGUGUCCAAAAACUGCACUGUGGGCGCUGCUUGUAUCUCUCUGCCUCCACAGAAAGCCUCAAAAAGGAUUCAGCAGUCACACUGUGUGUUACUUGCAAUCGGCAAAUCACAAUUUCCCACCAUUAACCUGCAGCGCUUGUGGUAUGGUUGCUAUGGUAACAGCUCCCUCCCAGGCAAGGCGCUGCAGCAUAUCCACCGGUUUAUUAGAUCUCUGAUCACACAGCUCCCUCCACAUGGCCAUCUGGGAAAAGCAGUCGCACAGAAACGUAUGCCCCCGGUUUUACCUCACCUAAGUCUGCUCAUCAUUUUGCCGCAUUAAACUCUGCUGAGGAGGAGACAGGGUGUCAACUUUCCUGUCAGGGUUCAGUUUCAGUUGAAGAUGGGUGGCAUAUUAAAUGAGAAGUGUUGAAGAGAUGAGUGUUAGAAGAAAAAAAAACAUGCUUGGAAGUAGUCGAAGGCAGCCGCUCUGAGGGAACUGUCUCCAUCUCAAUAAAAAGCUUCAUUCUGAGUUCAACAACUCUUUAUUUUGUUUGCUCGUCCAUACCUGGUAAAAAUUUACAGGAAAGAUAGUGAUUUGGCCGAGUUGUUUAUUCAGCAGCCUAUUUGAACUGCGUUUUCUCGGUUGAAGCUGUUUUUUAAUUGGCAUCGGUAUGAACAGCUUGAUGUUGUCAUCAGCUGUGUCAGGACCAGAUGCAACACUUAGCACAUCUCCUACCUUGUGAAAUUAUUUUACUGUAACACCAUUCCUGCCACCAUCACCACCUUCAGCAAGACGUUACAAACACUGCUGAUGAACAGCAGAUGUUGUUUCAAUCCCUGACACGCACAGACACACACAAACAAAUGUACACAAACACUGUCGAUCUGUCUGUCCUCCUUUACCUGCAGAAUGAGACAGUACAGCUUCUGCAAGGCCAUGUGGACACACAAAUGCCUUACAACAGGCAGUCUAACACAACAAUAACACAAAUUGCUGCUUCAGAAAAUCCCCUCUGAGUUGUAUCAGCAGCUCUGAAUCUCUGGACAAAUUGAACAUUAUGAGCGUCUCUGAAGUGAAAUUUAUUGUUGUGCUGUUCUGUUUUAUUGCAUCAGAGAGUACAGGUGGGGCUGUAUUGUUCCUCGUGUGGCUUUAUGUGGUUGAUCCUUUUUUUAUAAAACAUAUCACACUUUCUCUCUGUGGAUCAUGUCUUUGGAAGAAUAUGUUGGCAUUCUCUGGUGAUGGUGACGUCUUGUAAGUUCCUGGUUGUUCAUCUGAACAAUAAACUGGACUGGACUGGACUCAGCCUCUUGAGCAGACUCUAUCUGCUCAAGAGGCUGAGGUCUUUUAGGGUGCAGGGGGGGCACUCCUGAAGACCUUCUAUGACUCUGUAAUGGCCUCUGUCAUUUUUUAUUGAGUGGUCUGCUGGGGGAGCAGCAUCACAGCAGCUGACAGGAAGAGGCUGGACAAACUUAUAAAGAAGGCCAGCUUUGUCCUGGGGUGCCCUCUGGAACUCGUGGAGGAGGUGGGGAAGAGGAGGACCACAGCCAAGCUGUCCUCCAUGCUGGACAGAGACUCUCACCCCCUCAUACACACACUCACUGAACUGAGGAGCUCCUUAAGGGACAGGAUGCUCCACCCGAAGUGUGUGACGGAGAGGAAUCACAGGUCAUUCACAACAGAAACCUCAGUGUGCAGUAAAUCAUAUUUAUAUGUAUACUCUGUACACACAUAUGCUUAUGCUGUGUAUAUAGUCAUACAUAUAAAUAUCUCAAAAUUUCCAACUGUAAUAUAUCAAACAUGUACAUAAAAUAACUUUAAAAUAACACUCAUGUAUAAACCUUUUUUACUAUUUUUAACUCCUUUCUUCAUGCUUUAAUUUCUCACUGCUGUAAAUUUGGAAUUUUCCCUUCUGAGACAAACAAAGGAAUAUCUUAUCUUAUAUUCCAGGUGAUACACUUGGUAGCUUUUCAUGCACAGAGAUAAGGAGAUAAAAAUCACUGCCUUUCAGCUUACUUUGAAGUUAGAUAUGGGGAAACUAUCAGCUGAGUUUUGCAUUAUUAAGACGCAUUAUGGGCCAAAAGGUAACAAAAUUUCACUGGACUAUUCCAAGCUCACUUGUGGACAUGUUAAUUCUCAAAUGUUUCACUGCAGGUUGUGUUUUUUGUAGGAGUUUGAUGGGUAACCAGAAGCAUCUGCAGGAAGUUUCUAUGUCAUACAAAGGUAAAAAAUUGGCACAUAUCCUUCUAAAUGAGGACAGACAGUUGGUUUUGCUCAUAAAUUCUUUCACAGAUUAAACCUAUCCUCCUUCACUUUCGAGUUUUGAGCACUGGUAGACUCUCUUUUUUAGCCUUUGAAUAGAGCCAGGCUGUUGUCCUUCACUUCCAGUUAUUGAGCUAAAAUAAGUAGUGCUCACCGUUGAAUUGCUUCAGCUUUAUAAACAUACAUAAAAGACGCAUCAAUCUUCUCAUCUUACCCUAGCUGAAAAAUACUGAAGACAUGUCUGAGAAUUCAUCUCAUUAAACACAGUGAAAACAAAAACUUCAACUUAGCAUCAGACAAUUGGAUACGAACACUUAGAAACGGAAAAACUAAAUGACAACAAAGGAAAAAUGAGGAAAGAGGAAAAUACGGUGACAGCUUUGGAUCAGUUUCCAAGAUGGUUUGGAAAAGUUAAUUAAGUCCCUUAUUAUGUCAAUCCUGACAAAUGAUUUUUCUAGGAUGUUAUGUUAAUUUUUUUAACCUGUAACUAUUAUCUAUCCUGUCAAAAAAUGCAGGUCAGUGCUUUUGGCACGAAGUGUUUACAUCCAUCUGAACUGCCAAGGCUGAAGGUGAGUGUAAAAUGUCUCAUCUGCAUUGCUGCUAAUAGCCACAGAGGUGAUGAGGUUUUGACUCCUGUUACACGUGUCACUUCGCAUUAGUGUCAACAUUAGAGCCUGCCACUCUACAGCCAAUCAGAGCCACUUAACAACAAAAUCAACAGAUCCCUUUAUAAUUGCUCCUGAGCAAAGCAAUUGAAGGAGGCUCCUGGGGAUUGACUUUCAUUUGGGUUUGUCAGACAGGCCUAGCUUUUUGUUUAUUUAUUUAUUCAUGUUGGCCCACUUGAAGAUUAUAAUAGUUUUAAAGCUUGUAUGUGUCUGACUUUGUGAGGUCAUUGUUUAAAUUUGAAUACACUUGUUUUGCAUUGUGCAAAAUAAAUCAUUAAACUUGAUUGUCAUUGGGAUACAUCCAUGUAACAGGAUAAAAAGAUUUUUUUUUUAAAUGUAUUAAUCCUCACAUUUCUUCACAGAUAAACAAGCUUUGU
This is a non-coding RNA of Xyrichtys novacula (pearly razorfish), 3376 nucleotides long. NCBI's taxonomy places the organism in Eukaryota, Metazoa, Chordata, Actinopteri, Labriformes, Labridae. The record is from the annotation of a GenBank genome assembly.